This 482-nucleotide ribosomal RNA is filed under the name uncultured bacterium. RNAcentral's name for it is "partial 16S ribosomal RNA". It matches the Rfam family "Bacterial small subunit ribosomal RNA", at positions 30 to 506 of the family's 1533-position model. The record is from RNAcentral.
UUGAACGCUGGCGGCAUGCCUUACACAUGCCAGUCGAACGGCAGCGCGGGAGCAAUCCUGGCGGCGAGUGGCGAACGGGUGAGUAAUACAUCGGAACGUGCCCAAUCGUGGGGGAUAACGCAGCGAAAGCUGUGCUAAUACCGCAUACGAUCUACGGAUGAAAGCAGGGGAUCGCAAGACCUUGCGCGAAUGGAGCGGCCGAUGGCAGAUUAGGUAGUUGGUGAGGUAAAGGCUCACCAAGCCUUCGAUCUGUAGCUGGUCUGAGAGGACGACCAGCCACACUGGGACUGAGACACGGCCCAGACUCCUACGGGAGGCAGCAGUGGGGAAUUUUGGACAAUGGGCGAAAGCCUGAUCCAGCCAUGCCGCGUGCAGGAUGAAGGCCUUCGGGUUGUAAACUGCUUUUGUACGGAACGAAACGGUCUUUUCUAAUAAAGAAGGCUAAUGACGGUACCGUAAGAAUAAGCACCGGCUAACUACGU